UGCGCACGCGUAGCGCCGAUGCUUUCCCCGACUCUAUGGUGCUAAAGAGGAAGGCUGUUGAGUUAACGUUGAGCGUGUAUCGAAAUAUCGCGUGGUUUCAGAACGAAGGGUGACUUUCCAUGGACAGCCAGGAAAAUAAACAAAUGGAUCAUAGAACAAAUCAAUCCAGAAUUUUCACUCGUGGCACAAAUGACCAGGCUCAAACUAUCAUACUUCAGACACAUUAUGCAAAGAUCCAGCUCCCUUGAGAAGUCCAUAAUGCUGGGGAAAGUCGAAGGUAAGAGAAGAAGAAGAAGAUGACCAGCAGCAAGGUUGGUGGACUCGAUUACAGCAGCAAUGAAUGCAUCACUGAGAGAUCUUGAAGGCCAAGUUGAAGACAGAUCAUCCUGGAGAGAAUCUAUCUAUGUGGUCUCUAAGAGUCAACACCAACUUGACAGCACUUAAUCAAUCAAUCAUGUUUUAUCUGAGCGUGCCAUUGCUGAAUUGAGUAGAGUGUACUGCAAAGCUAACUGUAUUCCAUAAAUAAACAUAUCCCAAGCUG
This is a long non-coding RNA of Hemicordylus capensis (graceful crag lizard), 541 nucleotides long. RefSeq lists it as uncharacterized. The transcript has 2 exons. NCBI's taxonomy places the organism in Eukaryota, Metazoa, Chordata, Lepidosauria, Squamata, Cordylidae. The record is from RefSeq and is a predicted model, not a curated record.